GACGAACGCUGGCGGCGUGCCUAAUACAUGCAAGUAGAACGCUGAAGGAGGAGCUUGCUCUUCUGGAUGAGUUGCGAACGGGUGAGUAACGCGUAGGUAACCUGCCUGGUAGCGGGGGAUAACUAUUGGAAACGAUAGCUAAUACCGCAUAACAGUAGAUGUUGCAUGACAUUUACUUAAAAGGUGCAAUUGCAUCACUACCAGAUGGACCUGCGUUGUAUUAGCUAGUUGGUGGGGUAACGGCUCACCAAGGCGACGAUACAUAGCCGACCUGAGAGGGUGAUCGGCCACACUGGGACUGAGACACGGCCCAGACUCCUACGGGAGGCAGCAGUAGGGAAUCUUCGGCAAUGGACGGAAGUCUGAACGAGCAACGCCGCGUGAGUGAAGAAGGGUGUCGGAUCGUAAAGCUCUGUUGUAAGAGAAGAACGAGUGUGAGAGUGGAAAGUUCACACUGUGACGGUAUCUUACCAGAAAGGGACGGCUAACUACGUG
Molecule: ribosomal RNA, 495 nt
Filed under: uncultured bacterium
Lineage: Bacteria
Description: partial 16S ribosomal RNA
Rfam family: Bacterial small subunit ribosomal RNA
Source: RNAcentral